UCUAUGGGGCAGGGAUCUAUGGGGCAGGGUUCUAUCGGGCAGGGAUCUAUGGGGCAGUGAUCUAUGGGGCAGGGGUCUAUGGGGCAGGGUUCUAUGGGGCAGGGAUCUAUGGGGCAGGGUCUAUGGGGCAGGGAUCUAUGGGGCAGGGAUCUAUGGGGCAGGGUUCCGUGGGUCCGGGCCGUGGGGCGCCCCACUCACAGCCCACGCGGCAGUACUCCACCACGUAGCCGUCGACGCCGCCGGCCCCCACGCGCUCGGGGGGGCGCCACUUGAGGGUGGCCGUGGUGUCGGUGACGUCCUCCAGCACCAGGUGGGUGGGCUCGCUGGUGGGGGCUGCGCACAGCCGUCACCCCCCC
Long non-coding RNA from Oxyura jamaicensis (ruddy duck), 356 nucleotides. RefSeq lists it as uncharacterized. Lineage: Eukaryota; Metazoa; Chordata; Aves; Anseriformes; Anatidae. The record is from RefSeq and is a predicted model, not a curated record. The transcript is spliced from 2 exons.